CAGCCGCCGCGGGAACACGGAGGAUCCGAGCGUUAUCCGGAAUUAUUGGGUUUAAAGGGUGCGUAGGCGGAUAGAUAAGUCAGUGGUGAAAGACGGUGGCUCAACCAUCGCAGUGCCGUUGAUACUGUUUAUCUUGAGUAUGGAUGAGGUAGGCGGAAUGUGGCAAGUAGCGGUGAAAUGCAUAGAUAUGCCACAGAACACCGAUUGCGAAGGCAGCUUACCAAGGCAAAAUUGACGCUGAGGCACGAAAGCGUGGGGAUCGAACAGGAUUAGAUACCCCGGUAGUCCCUGUCUCUUAUAA
RNAcentral lists this ribosomal RNA (301 nucleotides) under uncultured bacterium. RNAcentral's name for it is "partial 16S ribosomal RNA". It matches the Rfam family "Bacterial small subunit ribosomal RNA", at positions 509 to 809 of the family's 1533-position model. The record is from RNAcentral.